ACUGAAUAGAUACCCCGGUAGUCCACGCUGUAAACGAUGUUCACUCGCUGUUUGCGAUACACAGUAAAGCGGCUGAGCGAAAGCAUUAAGUGAACCACCUGGGGAGUACGAUCGCAAGGUUGAAACUCAAAGGAAUUGACGGGGGCCCGCACAAGCGGAGGAACAUGUGGUUUAAUUCGAUGAUACGCGAGGAACCUUACCUGGGCUUAAAAUGUAGAUUGCAUUUUCGGGAAACCGGAAUUCCCUUCGGGGCUAUUUACAAGGUGCUGCAUGGUUGUCGUCAGCUCGUGCCGUGAGGUGUCGGGUUAAGUCCCAUAACGAGCGCAA
Molecule: ribosomal RNA, 327 nt
Filed under: uncultured bacterium
Lineage: Bacteria
Description: bacterial SSU rRNA
Rfam family: Bacterial small subunit ribosomal RNA
Source: RNAcentral